This 222-nucleotide ribosomal RNA is filed under the name Oenococcus oeni. RNAcentral describes it as "partial 16S ribosomal RNA". It matches the Rfam family "Bacterial small subunit ribosomal RNA", at positions 1318 to 1533 of the family's 1533-position model. The record is from RNAcentral. Lineage: Bacteria; Bacillati; Bacillota; Bacilli; Lactobacillales; Lactobacillaceae.
CCACGAAGGCGGAAUCGCUAGUAAUCGCGAAUCAGCAUGUCGCGGUGAAUACGUUCCCGGGUCUUGUACACACCGCCCGUCAAAUCAUGGGAGUCGGAAGUACCCAAAGUCGCUUGGCUAACUUUUAGAGGCCGGUGCCUAAGGUAAAAUCGAUGACUGGGAUUAAGUCGUAACAAGGUAGCCGUAGGAGAACCUGCGGCUGGAUCACCUCCUUUCUAAGGA